AUUGAACGCUGGCGGCAUGUUUUACACAUGCAAGUCGAACGGUAACAGCACUUCGGUGGCUGACGAGUGGCGAACGGGUGGGUAAUACAUCGGAACGUGCCUAGUAGUGGGGGAUAACUACUCUAAAGAGUAGCUAAUACCGCAUGAGAUCUAAGGAUGAAAGCCGGGGACCUUCGGGCCUUGCGCUACUAGAGCGGCUGAUGGCAGAUUAGGUAGUUGGUGGGAUAAAAGCUUACCAAGCCGACGAUCUGUAGCUGGUCUGAGAGGACGACCAGCCACACUGGGACUGAGACACGGCCCAGACUCCUACGGGAGGCAGCAGUGGGGAAUUUUGGACAAUGGGCGCAAGCCUGAUCCAGCAAUGCCGCGUGCAGGAUGAAGGCCUUCGGGUUGUAAACUGCUUUUGUACGGAACGAAAAGCCCUCUUCUAAUACAGGAGGGUCAUGACGGUACCGUAAGAAUAAGCACCGGCUAACUACGUG
This 482-nucleotide ribosomal RNA is filed under the name uncultured bacterium. RNAcentral describes it as "partial 16S ribosomal RNA". It matches the Rfam family "Bacterial small subunit ribosomal RNA", at positions 30 to 507 of the family's 1533-position model. The record is from RNAcentral.